AACCCCCAAGUGUUGAUAGAGCCG
This 24-nucleotide non-coding RNA is filed under the name Cricetulus griseus (Chinese hamster). The record is from RNAcentral. Lineage: Eukaryota; Metazoa; Chordata; Mammalia; Rodentia; Cricetidae.